This 72-nucleotide transfer RNA is filed under the name Capra hircus (goat). It matches the Rfam family "tRNA". Rfam says of the family: Transfer RNA (tRNA) molecules are approximately 80 nucleotides in length. Their secondary structure includes four short double-helical elements and three loops (D, anti-codon, and T loops). RNAcentral also lists the same sequence under 1 other name. Lineage: Eukaryota; Metazoa; Chordata; Mammalia; Artiodactyla; Bovidae. The record is from Rfam by way of RNAcentral.
UCCCUGCUGGCUCAGACAGUAAAGAAUCUGCCUGCAAUGCAAGAGACCCAGGUUCAAUCCCUGGGUUGGGAA